AAUGAACGCUGGCGGCGUGCCUAAUACAUGCAAGUCGAGCGAACAGACGAUGAGCUCGUUCCCCUGACGUUAGCGGCUGACGGGUGAGUAACACGUGCAUAACCUACCUCUUUUUCUGGGAUAACUUCGUGAGACCGGAGCCACUACUAGAUAAUACAUUGAACCGCAUAGAUCAGUAGUGAUACACGGUUUUCCCGUCUGUUUUAGCUGGUUCCGCGCCGCAUUAGCUAGUUGGUAAGGUAACGGCUUACCAAGGCAACGAUGCGUAGCUGAUCUGAGAGGGUGAUCAGCCACACUGGAACUGAGACACGGUCCAGACUCCUACGGGAGGCAGCAGUAGGGAAUAUUCCGCAAUGGGCGAAAGCCUGACGCAGCAACGCCGCGUGAGUGAAGAAGGCCUUCGGAUCGUAAAGCUCUUUUGUUGGGAAAGAACAAAAGUAUAUGUAACUAUGGACGUUCUGACGGUACCUAAUGAAUAAGCAACGGCUAACUACGUG
RNAcentral lists this ribosomal RNA (497 nucleotides) under uncultured bacterium. RNAcentral describes it as "partial 16S ribosomal RNA". It matches the Rfam family "Bacterial small subunit ribosomal RNA", at positions 29 to 507 of the family's 1533-position model. The record is from RNAcentral.